Molecule: ribosomal RNA, 459 nt
Filed under: uncultured bacterium
Lineage: Bacteria
Description: partial 16S ribosomal RNA
Rfam family: Bacterial small subunit ribosomal RNA
Source: RNAcentral
CCUACGGGUGGCAGCAGUGAGGAAUAUUGGUCAAUGGCCGGAAGUCUGAACCAGCCAAGCCGCGUGAAGGACGAAGGUGCCAAGCAUUGUAAACUUCUUUUGUCCAGGGACAAACUCAGGCUCGUGCGCCUUCCCGAGUGUACUUGACUAACCAGCAUCGGCUAACUCCGUGCCAGCAGCCGCGGUAAUACGGAGGAUGCGAGCGUUAUCCGGAUUUAUUGGGUUUAAGGGGUGCGUAGGCGGACUGUUAAGUCAGCGGUAAAAGCCCGGGGUUCAACCCCGGCGAGCCGUUGAAACUGGCGGUCUUGAGAUGGCGAGAGGUAGGCGGAAUGCGCAGUGUAGCGGUGAAAUGCUUAGAUAUUGCGCAGAACUCCGAUUGCGAAGGCAGCAUACCGGCGGCGAUCUGACGCUGAGGCACGAAAGCGUGGGUAUCGAACAGGAUUAGAUACCCGUGUAGUC